RNAcentral lists this long non-coding RNA (2026 nucleotides) under Nicotiana tabacum (common tobacco). Its description in RNAcentral is "long non-coding RNA (NTAB_LNC000053)". The record is from RNAcentral. Lineage: Eukaryota; Viridiplantae; Streptophyta; Magnoliopsida; Solanales; Solanaceae.
AAGAUCCAUCCCCAAAUCCGCGCCCACAUCUUCACCCUAUCUCUGCCGCGCCCAAACCACCAUAACUCCACCCUAAUCUCACUCAUGGUCCCCAUUUCUCUUCUCUCCUUCCUCCACGGUCCGUACCAAGCUUCAUCAUUGUCACGCAUUUUCUCUUCAUUUUUCUUUUUUCCGAAUUUGUCUCUUUUAGGCGAGAAUAGAAAAAUGGGGUGCGUAGGAUCGAGUUACACUUGAUCUACUCCCUCCAUUUGUCUUAUCUCGUCCAUUGAAAGGAUUUUCGAAUUUUUGAAUAAACAUUUUUCGGAUUUUUGUUUUGAGAUCCACACGGUUUUGGGUGUUGCUUGGAGAAUAGGAGAAGAAGAUUCGAGAAGGGAUAUAUAUUUGGGGGGUCAGGCAGAUUUGAGGGGAGUUUUUGAGAGAAAAUUCGGAAGAAAAGAGCUAGGGUUCCUUGAUUUUUAGUUCUCCUAAUUCUCAGUUGAUUCAUAGAUAAAAUAUUAGAGUUCUUUCUUAGUUUUUCUUUUAACUUUUGAAACAGAAAACAAAAAAAAAUUAGCUACUGAUUUGAUUUUUUUUUCAAAAAUGGAUUGCGUUUGAGGUGAACUCGAGUUCGCGUUCAAUUUCCGGUGCCGUCCGAGUUUUAGUUGGCAGUCCCUUCAUGUUCUUGUUUGGAAUUUGGAGUAAAAGCUUUGUAUACGCCGAAUCUUCUAUUCUAUCGAAAGAUUAAGCUUCAACAGGUUCAUUUUUGUCUCCCCUGACGCGUUUGAUUUUAUGUUAGAUUGAAUCUUCCUCCACUACUUGUGUUCUGUUUCAUUUUCGUGCUUAAUGUCUAUGGUUUCCUGUCUGUUCUGUUUGGACAUAUUGGAUUGCUAUAUGAUUUACUUUCGUGAUCAGUGAAUUAGUAUCGAAUUGCGUCGAGUUUCACAUGAAUAUGCAGUGUAUUCCCUUAAUUUUCUUGCUUGAAUUCUGACUGACUUUCCUAAUUCACUUGUCGAUAAAGAUCUAUUUGUGCCUCUUUGAUAUGGUUUGAGUUGGUUGUGGCUUUCAUCUUUAAGGAUUUCAAAAGAUAAACUAAAGGUUCUGCCGGUUUGAAUUUGUAGUUCGAAGUUAUGUUCAUUGUCAUGUUCUCUGACUUUUAUGUUUAAAUUGGCACUCGAUACUUAGUUGAUCUUCUGCUAUUAGAGAUACUGGGAUGUGUAGAACUCGAAGAACCUUGUUAGUGACGAGAAGUGUGACGACAACGAAAGUGUGUUUUAUGAGUUGAAAUCUUGAUGUACAGAUGUCAACUUUGCAUACUUGACAUUUGCUUCUUGUGAUUUUGCGCAACGCUCAGAUUCAUCUGAUAUUCUAUUUUCUUUGCAAGUAAUCUUAAACAUGUUGAAGCAUUCUGUUGAUUAGUGGCUUCCCUUAUUGUCAUAUUUGAGUUGAUUCCCCGUGAAACAAUGGCCAUUGUGUGAUGUCGAGUCCGCUCGGUAGUUUAGUGUCUUAAAACAGGUUUCAUUGUGUUAAAGUUAGUUAAAUCAACCUCUUGCUGUCGGCAUGGUGAUUAUGUUCAGAUGUUGAAUUGAUGUAUGGUAUCGGUUAGUCAUAGUUAAGUAACAGAUUCACAUAAGAAGUCCUAUUAAUUAUCAUGGUUAGGUCAUGAACUUUAUGUAAAGAACAUGUCAUUAUAGUUACUGUUUUGGUGCAUCCAUUCAUGUAUCAGGUGAGAUUUAGUGCAUCUGUGCCUAUGAAGUUGCCUCCAAUGCCUUCUCGAAAUGCUUUUCUCUUGAUAUUAGGACCAGUGUGACGGGUCGAAAUGCUUAAAAUUUAUUUGAGCGGGUAGAGUGCUUUCAUACCUACAUGUUCAAUUAAUCCAUUAUGUCUCGACACAGCAUGCCUAAUUCUUGACAAGCUCGUUGUUUUUCUCUUGCACUUCUGAUAGAUGUCUUGUUUGUCUAUUGUGUUUGUGAAGGGGUGUUAGGUUUCUGAGAGUUGAGUGGUUGGAGGAUAUAGAGUAGGUGACUGAUUAAAAGGCUCUUACCAUAUU